UGGGGAAUUUUGGACAAUGGGCGAAAGCCUGAUCCAGCAAUGCCGCGUGUGUGAAGAAGGCCUUCGGGUUGUAAAGCACUUUUGUCCGGAAAGAAAUCCUUGGCUCUAAUACAGUCGGGGGAUGACGGUACCGGAAGAAUAAGCACCGGCUAACUACGUGCCAGCAGCCGCGGUAAUACGUAGGGUGCAAGCGUUAAUCGGAAUUACUGGGCGUAAAGCGUGCGCAGGCGGUUUGCUAAGACCGAUGUGAAAUCCCCGGGCUCAACCUGGGAACUGCAUUGGUGACUGGCAGGCUAGAGUAUGGCAGAGGGGGGUAGAAUUCCACGUGUAGCAGUGAAAUGCGUAGAGAUGUGGAGGAAUACCGAUGGCGAAGGCAGCCCCCUGGGCCAAUACUGACGCUCAUGCACGAAAGCGUGGGGAGCAAACAGGAUUAGAUACCCUGGUAGUCCACGCCCUAAACGAUGGCAACUAGUUGUUGGGGAUUCAUUUUCCUUAGUAACGUGCUAACGCGUGAAGUUGACCGCCUGGGGAGUACGGUCGCAAGAUUAAAACUUAAAUGAAUUGACGGGGUCAUAGCUGUUUCCU
This 585-nucleotide ribosomal RNA is filed under the name uncultured bacterium. RNAcentral's name for it is "partial 16S ribosomal RNA". It matches the Rfam family "Bacterial small subunit ribosomal RNA", at positions 355 to 1375 of the family's 1533-position model. The record is from RNAcentral.